CCCGGUCAAGUUGCAUUACUUAAGAUCCACUCCCCAAAAACCUUCGAGAUAUCAGAUAAGGAGUGCCUCUCGCUUAGUUGGUCAGUUUCAGUGUCAGGAUAACCUUGUUAUGCAAUUUUCUUGCUGGGCAGAGUAUAGCUGUUUGCAGCUUAUCUAGGUCAAAAUUUGAAUUCAACUGAUGGACAAGAAGUGCGCGUUUCUUUGCUGUUCAUAUUUCAUGUGUUUUUCAAGCUAUAUACACAAGGAUUAAGGCUGGAAUAUCAACUUCUGCUCAUUCGCCGUAAGGUUCAAUCAACCAGUUAUGCAGGGAAUUGAUUGUAUAGUCAGCCUUGAUUGCAUCAGAUUCUUCUCCCGUGAAAAUUAUACAAAGGAAUGCAACAUUUUGUAAAGGGCACGGAGGGUGGAUUCUCCUGUUCAUUUCUUUCAUUCAUGGGACUUAACUCUAUGCGUGAUUAAAAUCAAUGGAUCCGCCACUUUGUCGAACUUAGAAGUGUAAGGCAUACGCGUACUUUGAAGGACCUGGAUAUA
Long non-coding RNA from Saccostrea cuccullata (small rock oyster), 528 nucleotides. RefSeq lists it as uncharacterized. The record is from RefSeq and is a predicted model, not a curated record. The transcript has 3 exons. NCBI's taxonomy places the organism in Eukaryota, Metazoa, Mollusca, Bivalvia, Ostreida, Ostreidae.